GAUGAACGCUGGCGGCGUGCCUAAUACAUGCAAGUCGAGCGAACGGACGAGAAGCUUGCUUCUCUGAUGUUAGCGGCGGACGGGUGAGUAACACGUGGAUAACCUACCUAUAAGACUGGGAUAACUUCGGGAAACCGGAGCUAAUACCGGAUAAUAUUUUGAACCGCAUGGUUCAAAAGUUAAAUACGGUCUUUCUUUCACUUAUAGAUGGAUCCGCGCUGCAUUAGCUAGUUGGUAAGGUAACGGCUUACCAAGGCAACGAUGCAUAGCCGACCUGAGAGGGUGAUCGGACACACUGGAACUGAGACACGGUCCAGACUCCUACGGGAGGCAGCAGUAGGGAAUAUUCCGCAAUGGGCGAAAGCCUGACGGAGCAACGCCGCGUGAGUGAUGAAGGUCUUCGGAUCGUAAAACUCUGUUAUUAGGGAAGAACAUAUGUGUAAGUAACUGUGCACAUCUUGACGGUACCUAAUCAGAAAGCCACGGCUAACUACGUG
Molecule: ribosomal RNA, 497 nt
Filed under: uncultured bacterium
Lineage: Bacteria
Description: partial 16S ribosomal RNA
Rfam family: Bacterial small subunit ribosomal RNA
Source: RNAcentral